UUGCAGUGAUGACUAUGGUGCCCAAGUGAUCGUGGGUCGAUCACAACCGUCUGAUUCCCUCGGACGAAAUUUGAAGGCACAUCUGAGCUU
Cucumis sativus (cucumber) is the source of this 90-nucleotide non-coding RNA. NCBI's taxonomy places the organism in Eukaryota, Viridiplantae, Streptophyta, Magnoliopsida, Cucurbitales, Cucurbitaceae. The record is from Rfam.